This 1474-nucleotide long non-coding RNA is filed under the name Neodiprion pinetum (white pine sawfly). Its description in RNAcentral is "uncharacterized LOC124213880, transcript variant X2". Lineage: Eukaryota; Metazoa; Arthropoda; Insecta; Hymenoptera; Diprionidae. The record is from RNAcentral.
GUCUGGAAACAACCGCGCGGUAGAGCGGACGUAUGAGAAUUGCGCUCAGCAGAUUUCGAGUACCGGGUUCUCUGUCUCCUGGAUCCUGCGCUCCGGGUCGGCUACUUGGUCAAACUCGACUUCCAAGACAAGCGCUCGGUGGUUUCUGCGCUCCAGGUCCGUUUCCUGGUGCCACUCGAGUUCCAGAACAAGCGCUCCGCGGUACCUGUUGAAAUUCGACUUCAGGGACUAGCGUUCGUAGUUUGUGCGUUCCAGGUCGGCUACCUGGUACAACUUGACUUCAGGGACAAGCGCUGCGUAGUUUUUGCGCGCCAGGUCCGCUACCUGGUAGAACUCGACUUCCAGGACGAGCGCUCCGUAGUUUCUGCGCUCGAGGUGUACCACCUGAUGAAACUCGAGUUCCAGGACAAGAGUUCCGUAGUUUCUGCACUCCGGGUGUCCUACCUCGUGAAACUCGACUUCCAAGACAAGCGAUCCGUAGUUUCUACUAUCCAGGUUCAUUUCCUGGUGCAACUUGAGUUCCAGGACAAGCGCUCCGUGGUUCCUGCGCUCCAGGUCUGUGACCUGGUGAAACUCGGCUUCAGGGAUAAACGCUCCGUAGUUUCUACGCUCCAGGUACGCUACCUGGUGAAGCUCGAGAUCCAGGACAAGCGAUACGUGGUUUCUGCGCUCCAGGUCGGCUAUCUGGUAAGACUCGACUUCAGGGAAAAGCGCCGUGUAGUUUUUCCGGGCCAGGUCCACUACCUGGUAGAAUUUGACUUCCAGGACAAGCGCUCCGUCGUUUCUGCGCUCGAGGUCAGUUACCUGAUGAAACUCGACUUCAGGGACUAGCGCUACGUAGGUUUUCCACUACAAAUCCGCUGCCCGCUGAAUCUCGACUCUCGGGGGAUGAGGUGGACUAGGAGGACGAGGAUUUGUGCACGUGUUCGAGGUAUAAUCCAAGGUGGUUAGAGGGAAUUGCGUGUGGUCGAGGUGGCCGAGGAGGAGGAGAACGAGGGAGACGAGGAGAACAAGGUGGACGAGAAGGACAAGGAUUUCUGCACGGUAUAACCCGAGGUGGGAAGCGGUGAUCGUUGAAGUUGGUUGGCGGCGGUUGGAGGUGGACGGACGUGGACGAGGGGGAGGACGAGGACGAGGACGAGGAGGACGAAGAUUUGUGCUCGGUAUAACCCGAGGUGGUCAUCGGUGGUUGUUGGAGGUGGUUGGCUGUGGCCGGAGGUGGACGAGAAGGAGGACCAGGAAGACAAGGAAAACAAGUCGGUAGGUACACUCAGGCCAAGUACUGGCUUGGGCCUACCAUUGCGAAGACUGUGUUACUCAGAAGGUAAAUGCAGCCAGCAUCUUGUCGAAAUCGGAAACUCCGUGAUGUUCUACGAUAAGUUCUCAACUCUACCAUUGGAUUAUCUCACGGAGCAAUUUACGGAUGUCACAUCUGAGCCCAUGAGGGCAACUGUCUUUAUAUUCUUCAUCCGAU